GAUUUCUGGUGUGGUGCGCCGAGCCCGCGGCCGUUUAGGUCGUGAGUGCUUGCUGUGCGCCUACCAUCCUUCCGGAGAGCGCUAUCUGCCCUUAACUGGAACGGGUAGUGUCGAUCUGGAUCGUUUACUUUGAAAAAAUUAGAGUGUUUAAAGCAGGCGUUAGCUAUGAAUACAUUAGCAUGGAAUAAUAAUUUAGGACUUCGGUUCUAUUUUGUUGGUUUCUAGGACUGAAGUAAUGAUUGAUAGGGAUAGUUGGGGGUGCUAGUAUUCCGCGGCCAGAGGUGAAAUUCUUGGAUUCGCGGAAGACUAACUACUGCGAAAGCAUU
RNAcentral lists this ribosomal RNA (326 nucleotides) under uncultured Limnofila. Its description in RNAcentral is "SSU rRNA". The stretch from base 114 to 326 matches the Rfam family "Eukaryotic small subunit ribosomal RNA", at positions 741 to 955 of the family's 1831-position model. The record is from RNAcentral. Lineage: Eukaryota; Cercozoa; Cercomonadida.